Molecule: transfer RNA, 87 nt
Filed under: Candidatus Gottesmanbacteria bacterium RIFCSPHIGHO2_01_FULL_42_27
Lineage: Bacteria; Candidatus Gottesmaniibacteriota
Also listed under: 4 other names
Description: tRNA-Leu
Rfam family: tRNA
About the family: Transfer RNA (tRNA) molecules are approximately 80 nucleotides in length. Their secondary structure includes four short double-helical elements and three loops (D, anti-codon, and T loops).
Source: RNAcentral
GCCCUGAUGCUGGAAUCGGUAGACAGGCACGCUUCAGGAGCGUGUGCUUUCACGAGCGUGGGGGUUCAACUCCCUCUCAGGGCACCG